UGGGGAAUUUUGGACAAUGGGCGCAAGCCUGAUCCAGCCAUGCCGCGUGCGGGAAGAAGGCCUUCGGGUUGUAAACCGCUUUUGUCAGGGAAGAAAUCUUCUGAGUUAAUACCUCGGGAGGAUGACGGUACCUGAAGAAUAAGCACCGGCUAACUACGUGCCGGCAGCCGCGGUAAUACGUAGGGUGCAAGCGUUAAUCGGAAUUACUGGGCGUAAAGCGUGCGCAGGCGGUUUUGUAAGACAGAGGUGAAAUCCCCGGGCUCAACCUGGGAACUGCCUUUGUGACUGCAAGGCUUGAGUGCGGCAGAGGGGGAUGGAAUUCCGCGUGUAGCAGUGAAAUGCGUAGAUAUGCGGAGGAACACCGAUGGCGAAGGCAAUCCCCCUGGGCCUGCACUGACGCUCAUGCACGAAAGCGUGGGGAGCAAACAGGAUUAGAUACCCUGGUAGUCCACGCCCUAAACGAUGUCAACUGGUUGUUGGGAAGGUUCCUUCUCAGUAACGUAGCUAACGCGUGAAGUUGACCGCCUGGGGAGUACGGCCGCAAGGUUG
Molecule: ribosomal RNA, 549 nt
Filed under: uncultured bacterium
Lineage: Bacteria
Description: partial 16S ribosomal RNA
Rfam family: Bacterial small subunit ribosomal RNA
Source: RNAcentral